UCGUUUGUAGUCCAAUGGUUAGGAUAAUUGCCUUUCAGGUAAUAGACCCGGUUCGACACCCGCAGACACA
This 70-nucleotide transfer RNA is filed under the name Zingiber officinale. It matches the Rfam family "tRNA". Rfam says of the family: Transfer RNA (tRNA) molecules are approximately 80 nucleotides in length. Their secondary structure includes four short double-helical elements and three loops (D, anti-codon, and T loops). The record is from Rfam by way of RNAcentral. Lineage: Eukaryota; Viridiplantae; Streptophyta; Magnoliopsida; Zingiberales; Zingiberaceae.